UACGUAGGGGGCAAGCGUUGUCCGGAAUUAUUGGGCGUAAAGAGCGCGUAGGCGGUCCGAUAAGUCGGCUGUGAAAGUCAGGGGCUCAACCCUUGAAAGCCGGCCGAUACUGUCGGACUAGAGUCCGGAAGAGGCAAGUGGAAUUCCCGGUGUAGCGGUGAAAUGCGUAGAUAUCAAGAGGAACACCUGAGGUGAAGACGGGUUGCUGGGCUGACACUGACGCUGAGUGCGCGAAAGCCAGGGGAGCAAACGGG
RNAcentral lists this ribosomal RNA (254 nucleotides) under uncultured bacterium. RNAcentral's name for it is "partial 16S ribosomal RNA". It matches the Rfam family "Bacterial small subunit ribosomal RNA", at positions 524 to 776 of the family's 1533-position model. The record is from RNAcentral.